Molecule: ribosomal RNA, 345 nt
Filed under: uncultured bacterium
Lineage: Bacteria
Description: bacterial SSU rRNA
Rfam family: Bacterial small subunit ribosomal RNA
Source: RNAcentral
UGAGGAAUAUUGGACAAUGGGUGGAAGCCUGAUCCAGCCAUCCCGCGUGAAGGAUGACGGUCCUAUGGAUUGUAAACUUCUUUUGUACAGGGAUAAACCUGCCCUCGUGAGGGCAGCUGAAGGUACUGUACGAAUAAGCACCGGCUAACUCCGUGCCAGCAGCCGCGGUAAUACGGAGGGUGCGAGCGUUAUCCGGAUUUAUUGGGUUUAAAGGGUCCGUAGGCGGGCCUGUAAGUCAGUGGUGAAAUCUCAUAGCUUAACUAUGAAACUGCCAUUGAUACUGCAGACCUUGAGUAAAUUUGGAGUGGCUGGAAUAAGUAGUGUAGCGGUGAAAUGCAUAGAUAU